Molecule: ribosomal RNA, 985 nt
Filed under: metagenome
Description: bacterial LSU rRNA
Rfam family: Bacterial large subunit ribosomal RNA
Source: RNAcentral
AUAACGGUCCUAAGGUAGCGAAAUUCCUUGUCAGGUAAGUUCUGACCCGCACGAAAGGCGUAAUGAUUUGGGCGCUGUCUCGACAAUGUCCCCGGCGAAAUUGUAGUACUAGUGAAGAUGCUAGUUACCUGCGAUAAGACAGAAAGACCCCAUGGAGCUUUACUGCAGUUUGAUACUGGGUUUCGAUGAUUUAUGUACAGGAUAGUUGGGAGACUAUGAAAGAGAGGCGUCAGCUUCUCCGGAGUCAUUGUUGGGAUACCAACCUUAAGUUAUUGAAAUUCUAACUUGUAAUCGUAAACCGGUUAGAGGACAAUGUCAGACGGGCAGUUUGACUGGGGCGGUCGCCUCCUAAAGAGUAACGGAGGCGCCCAAAGGUUUCCUCAGCGCGGACAGAAAUCGCGCGAAAGAGUGCAAAGGCAGAAGGAAGCUUAACUGAGAGACAGACAUGUCGACCAGAUACGAAAGUAGGGCUUAGUGAUCCGGUGGUUGUAAAUGGAAAUGCCAUCGCUCAACGGACAAAAGUUACCCUGGGGAUAACAGGCUUAUCUCCCCCAAGAGUUCACAUCGACGGGGAGGUUUGGCACCUCGAUGUCGGCUCAUCACAUCCUGGAGCGGAAGUACGUUCCAAGGGUUGGGCUGUUCGCCCAUUAAAGUGGUACGCGAGCUGGGUUCAGAACGUCGUGAGACAGUUCGGUCCUUAUCUGUCGCAGGCGGAGGAUAUUUGAAGGGAGUUGGCCCUAGUACGAGAGGACCAGGCUGAACGAACCGAUGGUACACCAGUUGUCUCACCAGAGGCACAGCUGGGAAGCUAAGUUCGGAAGGGAUAAACGCUGAAAGCAUCUAAGUGUGAAGCCCACCCUAAGAUAAGAUAUGCCAUACCGUAAGGUAGUAAGAUUCCAGAAAGACUAACUGGUAGAUAGGUUGGAAGUGUAAGUGGUGAGAGCCAUUAAGCUAACCAAUACUAAUAAAUCGAGGGCUUAACCAC